This 827-nucleotide ribosomal RNA is filed under the name Enterobacter sp. RNAcentral's name for it is "bacterial SSU rRNA". It matches the Rfam family "Bacterial small subunit ribosomal RNA", at positions 56 to 873 of the family's 1533-position model. The record is from RNAcentral. Lineage: Bacteria; Pseudomonadati; Pseudomonadota; Gammaproteobacteria; Enterobacterales; Enterobacteriaceae.
UGCAGUCGAGCGGCAGCGGAGAGUAGCUGGCUACUUUGCCGGCGAGCGGCGGAGGGGUGAGUAAUGUCUGGGAAACUGCCUGAUGGAGGGGGAUAACUACUGGAAACGGUCGCUAAUACCGCAAAACGUCGCAAGACCAAAGAGGGGGACCUUCGGGCCUCUCGCCAUCAUAUGUGCCCAGAUGGGAUUAGCUAGUAUGUGGGGUAACGGCUCACCUAGGCCACGAUCCCUAGCUGGUCUGAGAGGAUGACCAGCCACACUGGAACUGAGACACGGUCCAGACUCCUACGGGAGGCAGCAGUGGGGAAUAUUGCACAAUGGGCGCAAGCCUGAUGCACCCGUGCCGCGUGUAUGAAGAAGGCCUUCGGGUUGUAAAGUACUUUCAGCGGGGAGGAAGGCGUUGAGGUUAAUAACCUCAGCGAUUGACGUUACCCGCAAAAGAAGCACCGGCUAACUCCGUGCCAGCAGCCGCGGUAAUACGGAGGGUGCAAGCGUUAAUCGGAAUUACUGGGCGUAAAGCGCACGCACGCGGUCUGUCAAGUCAGAUGUGAAAUCCCCGGGCUCAACCUGGGAACUGCAUUCGAAACUGGCAGGCUAGAGUCUUGUAGAGGGGGGUAGAAUUCCGGGUGUAGCGGUGAAAUGCGUAGAGAUCUGGAAGAAUACCGGUGGCGAACGCGGCCCCCUGGACAAAGACUGACGCUCAUGUGCGAAAGCGUGGGGAGCACACAAGAUUAUAUACCCUGGUACUCCACGCCGUACACGAUGUCGACGUGGAUGUUGUGCCCUUGAGGCGUGGCUUCCAGAGCUAACGCGUUAACUCCACCGCC